This 253-nucleotide ribosomal RNA is filed under the name uncultured bacterium. RNAcentral's name for it is "partial 16S ribosomal RNA". It matches the Rfam family "Bacterial small subunit ribosomal RNA", at positions 524 to 776 of the family's 1533-position model. The record is from RNAcentral.
GACGUAGGGCGCGAGCGUUGUCCGGAUUUAUUGGGCGUAAAGAGCUCGUAGGCGGCUUGUUGCGUCGGCUGUGAAAACCCGCAGCUCAACUGUGGGCUUGCAGCCGAUACGGGCGGGCUUGAGGUAUGCAGGGGAGAACGGAAUUCCUGGUGUAGCGGUGAAAUGCGCAGAUAUCAGGAGGAACACCGGUGGCGAAGGCGGUUCUCUGGGCAUUACCUGACGCUGAGGAGCGAAAGUGUGGGGAGCGAACAGG